Molecule: unclassified non-coding RNA, 271 nt
Filed under: Hevea brasiliensis (rubber tree)
Lineage: Eukaryota; Viridiplantae; Streptophyta; Magnoliopsida; Malpighiales; Euphorbiaceae
Source: RNAcentral
GGGGAGAGUAAGUACCCGCCAGAGGGGGAUUUCUGUCGUUUAGUAAAGUAAUUUUUGGCGCGUAGAGAGAAAAGGUCACCUGGAGGCGACGCCCAGCCAUUGAUACCAUCGUCGAGGUUCACGCGGCACAAGGAUCCACCGUCGAUUGCCUCGGAGAUCCAAGAGCUUGUGGUAGUUGUAGAGGCGUUAGAAUUGGAUCUGGAGGCGGUAGAUUCAGAGGCGGAAUUCCGGUGUUUUGGCUUGGUUGUGCACAUUUUGAAUUAGUUUUCUG